Molecule: ribosomal RNA, 445 nt
Filed under: uncultured bacterium
Lineage: Bacteria
Description: bacterial SSU rRNA
Rfam family: Bacterial small subunit ribosomal RNA
Source: RNAcentral
GCAGUCGAACGGUAACAGGAAAUAGCUUGCUAUUUUGCUGACGAGUGGCGCACGGGUGAGUAAACUAUAGUUAAUGUACCCCAAAGACUGGGAUAGCCACUGGAAACGGUGAUUAAUACUAGAUACACCUUCUUAUCACAAGGUAAGAAGGGAAAUGUCUUUUCGCUUUGGGAUCAGACUAUAUCCUAUCAGCUAGUUGGUGAGGUAAUGGCUCACCAAGGCAAUGACGGGUAGCGGUUCUGAGAGGAUGAUCCGCCACACUGGUACUGAGACACGGACCAGACUCCUACGGGAGGCAGCAGUGAGGAAUAUUGCACAAUGGGGGGAACCCUGAUGCAGCAACGCCGCGUGGAGGAUGACGCAUUUCGGUGUGUAAACUCCUUUUAUAUGUCAAGAAAAUGACGGUAGCAUAUGAAUAAGCACCGGCUAACUCCGUGCCAGCAGC